UCUGUUUCCUAUUUGCUUUAUUUAGUAUUUUGUUUUCUUCAUUAACCAAAAAAAAUAUGUUUUCUAUUUACAAGUUUGUUCUGUGCAAAUGGGACCAAGUUGGUGAAACAUUCAUCCGAGGAGAUGUUACUUACAAUAAUGGAGAAUUUGAAUACCCUCAGGUUGCAUAUGUGGAAAACGGCGACGAUGAUGACGACAUUAUCUAAGAUUAUGCUCCAGCGGCAUGAGUGGAUUUGUUACUUUCAGUUUUUGACCAAAGAGUAGAAAACUCGGUUCUUAUAUACGAAUUUGUUGCUUAGGGCCUUUUAUGUACUUGUUGAGAUUAUUCUCACUGGAAAUAGUUGGACACUUGGUUUUCUCAUCAACCUCUCUUUUAUCAUUCUUAUAACUUUCGAUACAAAUAUGCAAGA
Molecule: RNA transcript, 410 nt
Organism: Arabidopsis thaliana (thale cress)
Lineage: Eukaryota; Viridiplantae; Streptophyta; Magnoliopsida; Brassicales; Brassicaceae
Exons: 1
Source: RefSeq